GACGGAGGAUGCAAGCGUUAUCCGGAAUGAUUGGGCGUAAAGCGUCCGCAGGUGGCAGUUCAAGUCUGCUGUCAAAGACCAGGGCUUAACUUCGGAAAGGCAGUGGAAACUGAACAGCUAGAGUAUGGUAGGGGCAGAGGGAAUUCCUGGUGUAGCGGUGAAAUGCGUAGAGAUCAGGAAGAACAUCGGUGGCGAAGGCGCUCUGCUGGACCAUAACUGACACUCAGGGACGAAAGCUAGGGGAGCGAAUGGG
This 253-nucleotide ribosomal RNA is filed under the name uncultured bacterium. RNAcentral's name for it is "partial 16S ribosomal RNA". It matches the Rfam family "Bacterial small subunit ribosomal RNA", at positions 524 to 776 of the family's 1533-position model. The record is from RNAcentral.